RNAcentral lists this ribosomal RNA (2198 nucleotides) under Pseudomonas sp. RW407. RNAcentral describes it as "bacterial LSU rRNA". It matches the Rfam family "Bacterial large subunit ribosomal RNA", at positions 1 to 2230 of the family's 2925-position model. The record is from RNAcentral. Lineage: Bacteria; Pseudomonadati; Pseudomonadota; Gammaproteobacteria; Pseudomonadales; Pseudomonadaceae.
GUUAUAUGGUCAAGUGAAGAAGCGCAUACGGUGGAUGCCUUGGCAGUCAGAGGCGAUGAAAGACGUGGUAGCCUGCGAUAAGCUUCGGGGAGUCGGCAAACAGACUUUGAUCCGGAGAUCUCUGAAUGGGGGAACCCAGCCAGCACAAGCUGGUUAUCACACACUGAAUCCAUAGGUGUGUGAGGCGAACCAGGGGAACUGAAACAUCUAAGUACCCUGAGGAACAGAAAUCAACCGAGAUUCCCUUAGUAGUGGCGAGCGAACGGGGACUAGCCCUUAAGCUUCUUGGAAUCUAACAGAACGCUCUGGAAAGUGCGGCCAUAGUGGGUGAUAGCCCCGUAUGUGAAAGGUUCCAGGAAGUGAAAUCGAGUAGGACGGCGCACGUGAAACGUUGUCUGAACAUGGGGGGACCAUCCUCCAAGGCUAAAUACUACUGACUGACCGAUAGUGAACCAGUACCGUGAGGGAAAGGCGAAAAGAACCCCGGAGAGGGGAGUGAAAUAGAACCUGAAACCGUAUGCGUACAAGCAGUGGGAGCCCACGUUGUUGGGUGACUGCGUACCUUUUGUAUAAUGGGUCAGCGACUUAUAUUCAGUGGCGAGCUUAACCGAAUAGGGGAGGCGUAGCGAAAGCGAGUCUUAAUAGGGCGUUUAGUCGCUGGGUAUAGACCCGAAACCGGGCGAUCUAUCCAUGAGCAGGUUGAAGGUUAGGUAACACUGACUGGAGGACCGAACCCACUUCCGUUGAAAAGGCAGGGGAUGACUUGUGGAUCGGAGUGAAAGGCUAAUCAAGCUCGGAGAUAGCUGGUUCUCCUCGAAAGCUAUUUAGGUAGCGCCUCACGUAUCACUCCAGGGGGUAGAGCACUGUUUCGGCUAGGGGGUCAUCCCGACUUACCAAACCGAUGCAAACUCCGAAUACCUGGAAGUGUCAGCGUGGGAGACACACGGCGGGUGCUAACGUCCGUCGUGAAAAGGGAAACAACCCAGACCGUCAGCUAAGGUCCCAAAGUUAUGGUUAAGUGGUAAACGAUGUGGGAAGGCUUAGACAGCUAGGAGGUUGGCUUAGAAGCAGCCACCCUUUAAAGAAAGCGUAAUAGCUCACUAGUCGAGUCGGCCUGCGCGGAAGAUGUAACGGGGCUCAAACCAUACACCGAAGCUACGGGUGCAUCGCAAGAUGCGCGGUAGAGGAGCGUUCUGUAAGCCUGUGAAGGUGAGUUGAGAAGCUUGCUGGAGGUAUCAGAAGUGCGAAUGCUGACAUGAGUAACGACAAUGGGAGUGAAAAACUCCCACGCCGAAAGACCAAGGGUUCCUGCGCAACGUUAAUCGACGCAGGGUUAGUCGGUCCCUAAGGCGAGGCUGAAGAGCGUAGUCGAUGGGAAACAGGUUAAUAUUCCUGUACUUCUAGUUACUGCGAUGGAGGGACGGAGAAGGCUAGGCCAGCUUGGCGUUGGUUGUCCAAGUUUAAGGUGGUAGGCCGAACACUUAGGCAAAUCCGGGUGUUCAAGGCCGAGAGCUGAUGACGAGCUUUCUUUUAGAGAGCGAAGUGGUUGAUGCCAUGCUUCCAGGAAAAGCUUCUAAGCUUCAGGUAACUAGGAACCGUACCCCAAACCGACACAGGUGGUCGGGUAGAGAAUACCAAGGCGCUUGAGAGAACUCGGGUGAAGGAACUAGGCAAAAUGGCACCGUAACUUCGGGAGAAGGUGCGCCGGUGAGGGUGAAGUAUUUACUGCGUAAGCCCACGCCGGUCGAAGAUACCAGGCCGCUGCGACUGUUUAUUAAAAACACAGCACUCUGCAAACACGAAAGUGGACGUAUAGGGUGUGACGCCUGCCCGGUGCCGGAAGGUUAAUUGAUGGGGUUAGCGAAAGCGAAGCUCUUGAUCGAAGCCCCGGUAAACGGCGGCCGUAACUAUAACGGUCCUAAGGUAGCGAAAUUCCUUGUCGGGUAAGUUCCGACCUGCACGAAUGGCGUAACGAUGGCGGCGCUGUCUCCACCCGAGACUCAGUGAAAUUGAAAUCGCUGUGAAGAUGCAGUGUAUCCGCGGCUAGACGGAAAGACCCCGUGAACCUUUACUGUAGCUUUGCACUGGACUUUGAGCCUGCUUGUGUAGGAUAGGUGGGAGGCUUUGAAGCGUGGACGCCAGUUCGCGUGGAGCCAACCUUGAAAUACCACCCUGGCAUGCUUGAGGUUCUAACUCUG